Molecule: ribosomal RNA, 271 nt
Filed under: uncultured archaeon
Lineage: Archaea
Description: partial 16S ribosomal RNA
Rfam family: Archaeal small subunit ribosomal RNA
Source: RNAcentral
CAGCGCCACGAGUGGCAAUCGCGUUUACUUGGCCUAAAGCGUCCGUAGCCUGUUUGAUAAAUCUCUUGUGAAAUUGUUAGGCUCAACUUAACAACGUGCAGGAGACACUAUCACACUUGGGACCGGGAGGAGUCAGAGGUAUUCCUUGGGGAGCGGUAAAAUGCUAUAAUCCUUGGAAGACCACCUGUGGCGAAGGCGUCUGACCAGAACGGAUCCGACGGUGAGGGACGAAAGCUAGGGGAGCGAACCGGAUUAGAUACCCGCGUAGUCC